RNAcentral lists this ribosomal RNA (229 nucleotides) under uncultured bacterium. RNAcentral describes it as "partial 16S ribosomal RNA". It matches the Rfam family "Bacterial small subunit ribosomal RNA", at positions 568 to 796 of the family's 1533-position model. The record is from RNAcentral.
UGUGUAGGCGGAAUGGUAAGCGUCUUGUGAAAUCCCCCGGCUUAACCGGGGAACUGCUUGGCGAACUGCCUUUCUUGAGGCAAGUAGGGGUGCAUAGAACUCUUGGUGGAGCGGUGGAAUGUGUAGAUAUCAAGAGGAAUGCCAAUGGAGAAAUCAGUGCACUGGACUUGUUCUGACGCUGAGACACGAAAGCGUGGGUAGCGAACAGGAUUAGAUACCCUGGUAGUCC